CCGUUAAAAAAAUAUCAGCUAAAUAAAUAUAUGUUAACUUUUUUUAUGUAACUGACACGUGUCAAAAAUAAAAAUUAAUAAUAAUAAUAAAAUUAUUUUCCUUUUUCUUGCUCUUUUCUCUCUCUUAUCUCCUUCCUCUGUUCUCUCUCAAUCUUGCUUAUCAAAUUGGGAAGACCUUGGGAUUUACAUAUCUCAAUGGUUACAUACAUCUAGAUCUCUAAAUCUAUAUAUACCUCCUUCUUCCUUCUCAUCCUUGUAUCAUUGAUCUUGCCAGAAUCUAGUUUAAGGAGGUUCUGGGCGUUGUUUCGAUGUUCUGUUCCUCCUCACUCGGCUUGAUUGGGGAUUGUAUUUUAUUCAUCUAGCUGAUUUGGUGGUUCUUAUUUACCCAUGAUUUUGAGGCUGGGUCUAUUCCAUUUGGACUAGAUCUGAAUUCUUAUUCCUUCAUGCUUAUCGAUCUUUUCGGAAUACCAAGAUCAAAUCCACAAAUUUUAUUGAAAAUCAACAAAUUCCAGAACCAAAAUGUAACGGAGCAACAAGCUACGCAACUACGAGAAAUAGAGAUAUGAGAGAGGAAGAUAGUAACGGAGGAAAAGAAAGCAUUUGAGCUGAGCAGUAGUGACUGUUUUGGGGAAUUUGGGAUUAUAAGGGGAGGGAGAG
Molecule: long non-coding RNA, 657 nt
Filed under: Panax ginseng (ginseng)
Lineage: Eukaryota; Viridiplantae; Streptophyta; Magnoliopsida; Apiales; Araliaceae
Description: long non-coding RNA (PGIN_LNC008115)
Source: RNAcentral